Molecule: transfer RNA, 87 nt
Filed under: Felis catus (domestic cat)
Lineage: Eukaryota; Metazoa; Chordata; Mammalia; Carnivora; Felidae
Rfam family: tRNA
About the family: Transfer RNA (tRNA) molecules are approximately 80 nucleotides in length.
Source: Rfam by way of RNAcentral
ACCUGGGUGGCUCAGUUGGUUGAGUGCCUGACUUUGGCUCAGGUCAUGAUCUCUCAUGGUUCGUGAGUUCAAGCCCCACAUCAGGCU